GAUGAACGCUGGCGGCGUGCCUAAUACAUGCAAGUCGAGCGAACAGACAAGGAGCUUGCUCCUUUGACGUUAGCGGCGGACGGGUGAGUAACACGUGGGUAACCUACCUAUAAGACUGGGAUAACUUCGGGAAACCGGAGCUAAUACCGGAUAAUAUUUCGAACCGCAUGGUUCGACAGUGAAAGAUGGUUUUUGCUAUCACUUAUAGAUGGACCCGCGCCGUAUUAGCUAGUUGGUAAGGUAACGGCUUACCAAGGCGACGAUACGUAGCCGACCUGAGAGGGUGAUCGGCCACACUGGAACUGAGACACGGUCCAGACUCCUACGGGAGGCAGCAGUAGGGAAUCUUCCGCAAUGGGCGAAAGCCUGACGGAGCAACGCCGCGUGAGUGAUGAAGGUCUUCGGAUCGUAAAACUCUGUUAUUAGGGAAGAACAUACGUGUAAGUAACUGUGCACGUCUUGACGGUACCUAAUCAGAAAGCCACGGCUAACUACGUGCCAGCAGCCGCGGUAAUACGUAGGUGGCAAGCGUUAUCCGGAAUUAUUGGGCGUAAAGCGCGCGUAGGCGGUUUUUUAAGUCUGAUGUGAAAGCCCACGGCUCAACCGUGGAGGGUCAUUGGAAACUGGAAAACUUGAGUGCAGAAGAGGAAAGUGGAAUUCCAUGUGUAGCGGUGAAAUGCGCAGAGAUAUGGAGGAACACCAGUGGCGAAGGCGACUUUCUGGUCUGUAACUGACGCUGAUGUGCGAAAGCGUGGGGAUCAAACAGGAUUAGAUACCCUGGUAGUCCACGCCGUAAACGAUGAGUGCUAAGUGUUAGGGGGUUUCCGCCCCUUAGCGCUGCAGCUAACGCAUUAAGCACUCCGCCUGGGGAGUACGACCGCAAGGUUGAAACUCAAAGGAAUUGACGGGGACCCGCACAAGCGGUGGAGCAUGUGGUUUAAUUCGAAGCAACGCGAAGAACCUUACCAAAUCUUGACAUCCUUUGACAACUCUAGAGAUAGAGCCUUCCCCUUCGGGGGACAAAGUGACAGGUGGUGCAUGGUUGUCGUCAGCUCGUGUCGUGAGAUGUUGGGUUAAGUCCCGCAACGAGCACAACCCUUAAGCUUAGUUGCCAUCAUUAAGUUGGGCACUCUAAGUUGACUGCCGGUGACAAACCGGAGGAAGGUGGGGAUGACGUCAAAUCAUCAUGCCCCUUAUGAUUUGGGCUACACACGUGCUACAAUGGACAAUACAAAGGGCAGCGAAACCGCGAGGUCAAGCAAAUCCCAUAAAGUUGUUCUCAGUUCGGAUUGUAGUCUGCAACUCGACUACAUGAAGCUGGAAUCGCUAGUAAUCGUAGAUCAGCAUGCUACGGUGAAUACGUUCCCGGGUCUUGUACACACCGCCCGUCACACCACGAGAGUUUGUAACACCCGAAGCCGGUGGAGUAACCAUUUGGAGCUAGCCGUCGAAGGUGGGACAAAUGAUUUGGGGUGAAGUCGUAACAAGGUAGCCGUAUCGGAAGG
RNAcentral lists this ribosomal RNA (1505 nucleotides) under uncultured bacterium. Its description in RNAcentral is "bacterial SSU rRNA". It matches the Rfam family "Bacterial small subunit ribosomal RNA". The record is from RNAcentral.